This 233-nucleotide long non-coding RNA is filed under the name Lathyrus oleraceus (garden pea). RNAcentral's name for it is "Pisum sativum (pea) long non-coding RNA (PSAT_LNC022684)". Lineage: Eukaryota; Viridiplantae; Streptophyta; Magnoliopsida; Fabales; Fabaceae. The record is from RNAcentral.
UCCUUAGUAUUCUAAGAGAGCCAUUUUCACCAAUCUUGUAAGGUAGGUUGUUAUUUGUGAAAAAUAUUUGUGCAAACAAGAUUGGGGAGAUGAGAAAAGAAUAUACAAGUUAUUUACAAUUUUGUGUUUGAAUGAAUAAACCCAUUGCCUAUGUACCAUCACAAAGGAGGAUCAAAACCUCGUAGUUCGGGGUAAAAAUCUCAAAAGAAGUUGGUGAAUUGAUUGGUCAAAAG